Molecule: RNase P RNA, 536 nt
Filed under: Bacteroidetes bacterium SW_9_63_38
Lineage: Bacteria; Pseudomonadati; Bacteroidota
Description: RNase P RNA component class A
Rfam family: Bacterial RNase P class A
About the family: Ribonuclease P (RNase P) is a ubiquitous endoribonuclease, found in archaea, bacteria and eukarya as well as chloroplasts and mitochondria. Its best characterised activity is the generation of mature 5'-ends of tRNAs by cleaving the 5'-leader elements of precursor-tRNAs. Cellular RNase Ps are ribonucleoproteins.
Source: RNAcentral
CGUGCGGAUCGGGUUGUCGCUCCGCCGGGGGCGAGGUGCGCGACGCCCCUCGCGAUCGGCGGUGAGGAAAGUCCGAAUACCACAGGGUCCGUGCUUCCUAACGGGAAGGCUGCGUCGCGUCCGACAGGGCAGAACCGGGUUCUGCACAGAACCGGGUUCUGCACUGGCGUGGUGUAGACGACACGUGCAACAGAGAACAGUCCCGCACCGAUGCCGGAACGCCGUUUCGGCUCCGUCGGUGUAAGGGGUGCAAAGGUGCGGUAAGAGCGCACCGGCGGCCUCGGUGACGAGGUCGGCCAGGCAAACCCCACGGGGUGCAAGGCCAAGUAGCGCCGUGUGCCGCCCCUGGCGGCGCGGAGGUGACCCGCCAACGUUCCCACGGCCGCACCGUUGUGCCGGCCUGUUCGGGGCGCGGCGCAGGUGGGCCGCUUGAGGCGGUCGGCGACGACCGUCCCAGAUAGAUGACAACCUCCCCGGCUCGGCUCCGCGGACUCGAGCCGGGCAGACCAAAUUCGGCUUACAGACCCGUACGUCCC